RNAcentral lists this ribosomal RNA (255 nucleotides) under uncultured bacterium. RNAcentral's name for it is "partial small subunit ribosomal RNA". It matches the Rfam family "Bacterial small subunit ribosomal RNA", at positions 26 to 285 of the family's 1533-position model. The record is from RNAcentral.
AGGACGAACGCUGGCGGCGUGCUUAACACAUGCAAGUCGAGCGGAAAGGCCCUUCGGGGUACUCGAGCGGCGAACGGGUGAGUAACACGUGAGCAACCUGCCCUUAGCUCUGGGAUAGCUCCGGGAAACCGGAAUUAAUACCGGAUAUGACCUAGGCCGACGAUCGGCCGUGGUGGAAAGUUUUUCGGCUAGGGAUGGACUCGCGGCCUAUCAGCUAGUUGGUGGGGUAAUGGCCUACCAAGGCGACGACGGGUA